RNAcentral lists this ribosomal RNA (450 nucleotides) under uncultured Glomeromycotina. RNAcentral's name for it is "SSU rRNA". It matches the Rfam family "Eukaryotic small subunit ribosomal RNA", at positions 569 to 1023 of the family's 1831-position model. The record is from RNAcentral. Lineage: Eukaryota; Fungi; Glomeromycota.
AGCAGCCGCGGUAAUUCCAGCUCCAAUAGCGUAUAUUAAAGUUGUUGCAGUUAAAAAGCUCGUAGUUGAAUUUCGGGAUCAAUAUGUUGGUCGUGCCUUGGUACGUACUGGCAUUAUCGAUUCCUACCUUCUGAAGAACCUCGAUGUCAUUAAUUUGGUGUCUUGGGGAAUCAGGACUGUUACUUUGAAAAAAUUAGAGUGUUUAAAGCAGGCUCGCGCUUGAAUACAUUAGCAUGGAAUAAUGAAAUAGGACGUUUGAUUCUAUUUUGUUGGUUUCUAGGAUCGACGUAAUGAUUAAUAGGGAUAGUUGGGGGCAUUAGUAUUCAAUUGUCAGAGGUGAAAUUCUUGGACUUUAUUGAGGACUAACUACUGCGAAAGCAUUUGCCAAGGAUGUUUUCAUUAAUCAAGAACGAAAGUUAGGGGAUCGAAGACGAUCAGAUACCGUCGUAG